ACACACCGUUACCCCUUAAACUGUUUUCCCAUAAAAAUAACAAAACCAAAAAUAUCAAAAUUUUCAUUUAUCUUUUAUCUCGUUGUUGCGGGGCGUUCAUCGGAGGUCUCCUCAAGGGCAGUCGGACGGCAGUUUCACCCUGGAUACAUAUGCAGCACACAGUGUGCUUAUUUUAAAUUGAAGCGAAACAUUUUGGACUGAUUGUUUCAAUUGAAACUGUAAAAUAAAAGUGAGCAACAGCAGCAGCCGGUGGUGGACAUUCCGACGUUGGGCCGGUUAGUCGGUUCCCAGCAACUCUCGUCGGCGUCCAGUCGAAAGUUUCACGCCUUUAUUCAAAGCCAUUCCGUUUGCGCUGCCACCUGUUGGAGAUCUCCGCUUCAAACAGCAACGGUGAGAACGACCGGUUCGGACCCGCAGUUACAUCCUGUAUCGUGACGUCGUCCUGGUGACUAUCAACUAUCGUCUGGGACCUCUCGGUUUUUCUCAGCACCGAAGACGUUGAUGCCCCAGGAAAUUACGGACUCCUCGACCAUCCAGUCGUUAAUUGGCCUUGCGCGGUAUAAUUUCCCGCCAAAUGUAUUUUAAAACUCGUGCUUGGUUUUA
Daphnia pulex (common water flea) is the source of this 603-nucleotide long non-coding RNA. RefSeq lists it as uncharacterized. Lineage: Eukaryota; Metazoa; Arthropoda; Branchiopoda; Diplostraca; Daphniidae. The record is from RefSeq and is a predicted model, not a curated record. The transcript is spliced from 4 exons.